RNAcentral lists this ribosomal RNA (449 nucleotides) under uncultured prokaryote. RNAcentral's name for it is "bacterial SSU rRNA". It matches the Rfam family "Bacterial small subunit ribosomal RNA", at positions 355 to 796 of the family's 1533-position model. The record is from RNAcentral.
UGGGGAAUUUUGCGCAAUGGGCGCAAGCCUGACGCAGCGACGCCGCGUGUACGAUGAAGGCCUUUGGGUCGUAAAGUACUGUCAACGGGGACGAACGCCGCCUUCUGAAUAGGAAGGGGGUCUGACGGUACCCGUGGAGGAAGCACCGGCUAACUCUGUGCCAGCAGCCGCGGUAAUACAGAGGGUGCAAACGUUGCUCGGAAUGACUGGGCGUAAAGCGCGCGCAGGCGGUCCGCUAAGUCGACUGUGAAAUCCCAUGGCUCAACCAUGGACGUGCAGUCGAUACUGGCGGCCUCGAGUCCCGGAGAGGGUGGUAGAAUUCCCAGUGUAGAGGUGAAAUUCGUAGAUAUUGGGAGGAAUACCGGUGGCGAAGGCGACCACCUGGACGGGUACUGACGCUGAGGCGCGAAAGCGUGGGGAGCAAACAGGAUUAGAUACCCCCGUAGUCC